UACGUAGGGGGCAAGCGUUAUCCGGAUUUACUGGGUGUAAAGGGAGCGUAGACGGAAUUGCAAGUCUGAUGUGAAAAUCCGGGGCCCAACCCCGGAACUGCAUUGGAAACUGUAUUUCUAGAGUGUCGGAGAGGCAAGUGGAAUUCCUGGUGUAGCGGUGAAAUGCGUAGAUAUCACGCAGAACUCCGAUUGCGAAGGCAGCGCACCGGCGCCCUACUGACGCUCAGGCACGAAAGCGUGGGUAUCGAACAGG
Molecule: ribosomal RNA, 253 nt
Filed under: uncultured bacterium
Lineage: Bacteria
Description: partial 16S ribosomal RNA
Rfam family: Bacterial small subunit ribosomal RNA
Source: RNAcentral